UGGUUAGCUCACGCGAGGCUCCCUCUGUAACGAGGAUUAAUAUCCUUCUUCCAUUUAACAAGAGACUUACGAGACGCAGAUGUAAUCGUCCUAACCCCGGUGGAGAAAGAACGAGCGAUGAGAAAAUUUAUUCGAACGGCCCAUUGGAUAAAUCUCUCCGUGCCACCAACGAAUCUUAACGGAGUAAUCGCGGCAGAUAUCAUUAGAUUAAUGGCAAAUGAUCCUGCGACCCGCGACACUGGAUCUCUCUUCAGUGCGCUUGUGCUCCGAGAGGAUUGCGCGGAGAAAAACUGAUAACGAAACAGGAAACGACGAAUGGAACGAGAGGAUUAACACGGAGUCUCGAUUCACUGUGUUUAGAUAUAAUUUCAAUGGUUCUUCGUUUCGAAGAUUAUUUAACCACGUUUGCGGUCUGUAUCGUUUCUACUGUCGUUUUAAAGUGAUUCAUGAUUGCUGACCAAUUUACGAAUGUUGUUUGCAAUUUCGUCUUAAUUCUCUAAUUUUUCCAGGAAAAUUUAUAUGUAUAUAUGUUAAUGAGAAAAAUAUUUUUAUUAAUCUUUAUUAUAUCAAUAGCAAAAUUUGUUGGAUAUUACCUAAUUUUAAUAAUUUUCGGUGGUUAAAAUCAUUAAUCGAUCGAUUUGUAAAGAUAGUGGAUAGUCGAAUAUUAAUGCAGAGGUUAAGAUAAAUCGUACUGUGAAUAAUCGUAUCAAGAUUCGUGUCUGUAAAUAUUUUUCUUAGAAUGCAAAUAUAUUUUACAAUAGAAUUUUUCAGAGUUAAUUUUUAAUAUUUUAUUUUUUCAAAUAUUUAAUGCAGUAUUGAAAGUUUUUAUAUCUAUAAAAAUAGUUUCAAGAGCUAUUUAAUGAAAAGUGUUCUUUCAAAUUUUAAUAUUUUGAAACAUUAAAAAUGUUGGAUGGAAAUUUCAAUUUUAGGUUAACUCGAAUUCAAAGUUUUCAAACUUACAAAAUAAGAAUUAGAGAAGAAGUUUAUUUCAAUAAAUUAUGUCAUGAACCUAAGAUUUUAUUAAAAUAAUAUUCAAUCUUAUUUCAGAAAAUUUUUUAUAAUAAUAAAAAUAUCGAUAUAAUUUAUCGAUCGAGUUACGAAACGAGUUAUUCAUUAAUAUGUUUUCUUUCACCUAUAUUCAGACGAUCACGUGGUACAAAAUAGUGAUACUAAACUAUUAACGACUUAAUUAACGUUACACAAAAUAUAAUUAAUUUUUUAUCUUUUCUUUCUCAAAAAUUAAUUUGCACGAAUAAAUCGCAUUUAUCGAAGUACGUAUUUAGACGAAUAACAAAAUAAUAAAAGUCUCGUGCAAGAAUGGAAGAUACGAAUCUAUGUUGCUAAAAAUAAAAAUGACAAAAAUGUAAACUGUUAAACUGGCUCUUAAUUUAUAUUGAUUGAGAUAAAAAUAUCAAGUAUUUAUAUAUAUAUAUAUAUAUUUAUAUAUCCAUUUAAAAAAAAACAAAAAAGAUAACAUUCAAUUGACUUUUAUUCAAGAUAAACAAAUGAAAAUAAUGAUACUAAUAAUGAUUUAACUUUCAUGUAAAACAUUUCUCGUUAUCGAGUAAUGAUAGAAAUAAGAAAAUCAAGAUAUCAAAAUCAAGUAAGGUAUCCAAUAUAAAAUUUUCAUUUCUAAAAUACUAUAAUACAUACACCAUUCUCUAUCCAUUUAUUCCAUUGCAAUCUUUCCUCACAUAUAAUGGUCAAUAAUAAUUGAUAUAAAACUGAUGUUAAAAUUAAGCAAACAUGUUAAGAAACCGAGAAAAAGAAUGACCGAAGAAAGGCAAAUAAAAUACAAAAAAAGGAAAAAAAAGAAAAAUAUAAUUACAUUUAGAAUUUCUUCUUUAGAAUUUUAUCAAGGCUCUCCAUCCUAAAGAGCAUAAAGAGCACCUCUAUUAUCGUGAUUUGAAUGCAAUGCGAAUCUUUGAUGUUAAAAUUAAUCAAACACAUCAAGAAAUAAAUAAGCGAAGAAAUUGCAAAAAAAAAGAAAAGAAAAAUAUAAUUAUAGUCGUCAAUUCCGUAGAAUUUUGUCAAGGUUUUCCGCACAAAGAGCGACUCUAUCAUCGUGGUCUGAAAGAUAAUAUGCGACCGCAUAAUUGCGAGUUGGUUAGGUGAAAUUCGCUAGGAGGUGAGCAACCAGUCGCGGAAGGGGUUAAUAAUAAGAGUCAACCGGUAUUUCCACGUCUUAUUACGAACGAGUAGAUUGGGAUGAAGCGGAAAGGCACACGGUGAAAACGUGCCUCGGUAUCCCUGGGGUUGCAACGAGUCAUUAAUGCUUUCAGACAAAACACUUCUGCCAGCUGCGAUUACUCGUAUGUGCGAUUUAUUAUGUUUAUUCGAGAUAGAAUAACAAAACGAUGGAUAACUUUUUGGAGAACUCCAUAAUUAAUAUUUUAGCUCUAGAUAAUUUUUUUUUUCAAAUUUUGAACAUUUGGUGAAAUAUUAUAUGUUAAAUGUAAAUUGUAGGUUGAGAAACACUGUAUUAAUCGAAUCAUUGUAAAAAAUAAUAAAUACAUUGUCUCUAAAA
Molecule: long non-coding RNA, 2527 nt
Organism: Apis cerana (Asiatic honeybee)
Lineage: Eukaryota; Metazoa; Arthropoda; Insecta; Hymenoptera; Apidae
Source: RefSeq, a predicted model, not a curated record